GACGAACGCUGGCGGCGUGCUUAACACAUGCAAGUCGAACGGUGACGAGGAGCUUGCUCCUCUGAUCAGUGGCGAACGGGUGAGUAACACGUGAGCAACCUGCCCCAGACUCUGGGAUAACAGUUGGAAACAGCUGCUAAUACCGGAUACGAGGCGGAGAGGCAUCUCUACCGUCUGGAAAGUUUUUCGGUCUGGGAUGGACUCGCGGCCUAUCAGCUAGUUGGUGAGGUAAUGGCUCACCAAGGCGACGACGGGUAGCCGGCCUGAGAGGGCGACCGGCCACACUGGGACUGAGACACGGCCCAGACUCCUACGGGAGGCAGCAGUUGGGAAUCUUGGGCAAUGGGCGAAAGCCUGACCCAGCGACGCCGCGUGAGGGAAGAAGGCCUUCGGGUCGUAAACCUCUGUCAUGGGGGAAGAAGCAAGUGACGGUACCCCAAGAGGAAGCCCCUGCUAACUACGUG
Molecule: ribosomal RNA, 464 nt
Filed under: uncultured bacterium
Lineage: Bacteria
Description: bacterial SSU rRNA
Rfam family: Bacterial small subunit ribosomal RNA
Source: RNAcentral